This 118-nucleotide ribosomal RNA is filed under the name Echinops telfairi (small Madagascar hedgehog). Lineage: Eukaryota; Metazoa; Chordata; Mammalia; Afrosoricida; Tenrecidae. The record is from RNAcentral.
GUCGCCAGCCACACUACCUUAAAUUUGCCAGAUCCCAUCUGAUUCUAGAAGCUAAGCAUGUUCGAGCCUGGUUAGGACUUGGAAUGGUGAUCACCUGCUAAUACCAGGUGCUGCGCCC